Molecule: long non-coding RNA, 1248 nt
Organism: Lampris incognitus (smalleye Pacific opah)
Lineage: Eukaryota; Metazoa; Chordata; Actinopteri; Lampriformes; Lampridae
Exons: 3
Source: RefSeq, a predicted model, not a curated record
GAGAGUGAAUCUAACGAGAGAAAGACUGGAAGAGAAGAGAAAUACGGUUAUUUUGAAAUAUGGACAACUUUGACUACGGAUACUUGAAUUUCGGAUAUUUGAACUACGGAUAUUUGAACUACAGGACAUUUGAACUACGACUUAAGAUCCCUCCCACGAGGCUUCCUUGACAGAUGAUCUCCUGUUGAAGGAAGAAGGAAGACUCUUGUCUCUUGUGUUUUGUACGCUGCUGGAAUCCUGACUGGUUUUUUUAGUACCCCGAACAACUCCCCUUGCUACACCUUUUGGAACCCUUGGAUACCCCCUUUUGGAUUGCCCCCAUCGUCGCCCUGGAUGUGGAUUCAUCAUCAUCGCCCUCCACAUUAACUUGCCCCUGUGAUUGUGGUAGGAUCUGGAUAUUGCACCUUGCACAAAUUGGAAGACUGAAUCAUUCCCCCUUUUCUUUUCUUUAUUAUUUUCUUUGAGUGCACUCAUACUUUAUUUUGGAUUAUUUUGUUUAAUUUGUUAAUGUAGAAUAUGGCUGCAUAAGUAAUAUAUUAGAAAGGUAUAAAAUAGAAUAUAGACAAUAAAUAGAAUAUUAGGAAGAACUUUUAAAAAGUAUAAUAGAGUAAAAUAUAUAUGUAAUAUAACACAUCUCAUUUAGUAUUGAUAUUGAAAUAACUUGACGCUGAACUGUUGAAAUAAAUUCUUUUUAUAUUGUAAACUAUACCCACGAGUGUGUGUGUUGUCUUUGGGAUGAGUACUAGAAUCUGGUCUAGAAAAAAACCUACACCAAUCUCCACUGAACUUAGACAUUAGACUGUAAACUGUCCCUGCGCAAGCAUAGGCCCAUUCCCCUGUCGUGCAGGUUACACAGACGUGUCGCCUUGGUCAAUUUUUUGAUAGGUCAGGCAAAAAUGAGCAUUUAGCUUAGCAGAAGGAACACAAUGAAAGGUACAGGGUCCACAGAUGCCACACUCAUGUUCAAGGGUCUAGUGGCUUAUCAACUGAAAAUUGAGUUCAUGUUUUUCAAAUUUAGUUCAAACUUGGAAGGAUUUAUUUCUAUUUGGGGACAUGGGGAUGUACUGUGCAUGGUAGAAAACCAAGUGCUUUUUCUUAAUUUCUGAAAAAAUAAAAAAUAGGGGAAGGUCUGUAUCCUUUUUUUUACUGUGUAUGGCAAUUGUUGUGUUUUUCUGCUAUGUAUAUGAGUAUUUGUGUUAAUGUUAUCUUGAUGUAAAUGAAGAAUUGGAACAUUAAAGGCUUGGUUAA